UACCCUUACCCGACGCCCACAGUUUCAACUGUAACCCCCUCUACCUUGUUCAUUGCCAACCCAGCGCGCAAUUCACCACUAUCUGUUGCAUACACAGGAAUCUAUACAUACAAACUGGUUUCUUUAUCUCUCCACUCUCUCUAUACAUUCGAAGGGAAAGAGCCGGAGAAAACAGAGAUGGUGUCGACGAGGCGAAAUGGAUCUCAGCCGUCGAAUAAUAAUAACAAUAAUAUCAAGAACAAUAAAAAUAAUAAAUCAUCUUCCCCGUCGGAGUCUUCAUCACCGAAGCGUCAAAAGGGCGAGAGUAGUAAUUGUAUUGAUAACAAUUCAAAAGCGUCGGAGAAAUCAACUCCGCCGGUAGAGAAUCCCAAUGAUAACAGCUCCACCGAUCCAGCACUAGAACUUCCGGCCGCAGCCUCCGUCUCUGAUGCCACUCCCAUAGUUGCAGAAGGGACCACGCCGGCUAUAGUUGACAAGGCAAGGAGCUCGUCCACUUCCUGGAAACAGCAUCAAGGUCGCAAAACAACCUGGCUUUGGUACAGGCUUCUCAGUGAAUUCCCAAAGAACCCAACUGUUUCAUUUUGUACUACGAAUUUCUCUGUGGGGUCUAGCAAACGGGCCAAUCUUUCGAUCCCAGAUCAAACCAUUAGUGCAAUUUUGUGUUUCAUAAGGCUUACCCAGCGCGAGGGGAAAUCUGUUGCAGUUCUUGAAAGCCGGGGUAGCAAAGGAUGUGUGCAAGUAAAUGGAAAGAUGAUUAAGAAAAACACUACUUGUGAGCUCAAUUCAGGGGAUGAGGUGAUCUUUGGGUUUCUUGGGAAUCAUGCUUAUAUUUUCCAAGUACAGCCCGAUGACCAUGUAAUCAAGACACCUCCACCAGAUGUUCAGAGCUUAGGAAAGUUAAUUCAUUCCGAAAGACGAGCAGGAGAUGUGUCAGCUGUAGCUGGCGCUUCAAUUUUGGCAUCUCUUUCAAACUCGAGGCAAGAUGUAUCACGUCUGAAGCCUUCAUCUCAGGUUGUUACUAAAGUUUACCGAGAGAACGAGCUACCUCCUAUUGUCAAUGAAGAUGAUCUGGAUGGGCAAGAAAUCAAUUUGACUACAAAUUCAGGGAAUGAAGCUGCUAGCAAGGUCGUGGAAGAAAGAGACUGGGUUCAGUACUCAAUUCCGGCGUCUCGAGCUGGGAAGUCCUUGAGAAAAUCAGCACUUAGAGAAGACAUACUUGCAACAAUUCUUGAUGGACAAAGCCUCGAAGUUUCAUUCGAUAACUUCCCAUACUAUUUGAGCGAGAACACAAAAAAUGUGCUGAUUGCUGCUUCAUAUGUACACCUGAAGCGCAAGGGUCAAGUUAAAUGUAUUUCCGAGUUUCCAAAUCUGAACCCCAGAAUCUUACUUACUGGUCCAGCAGGAUCUGAUAUAUAUCAAGAGAUACUUGCAAAGGCGCUUGCUCAUCAUUUUGGGGCUAAAUUGCUUUUAUUUGACAGCCAUUCAUUUGUGGAUGGUUUAUCUGCCAAGGAAACUUACCUAUUAAGAGAGGGUUACAAUGUAGAAGAAGUCAGCAAUAAUACUAAGCAAGUUCCUCGUUCCUCAGAUUUGGCCAAGGGCAUGGAACUUUCAUCUGGUGAAACAAAUAUUCCGGAUUCUUCAAAUUUUCCUCUUGGCUCAGACUCCCAGACAAAAUUGGAAACUGACAAUUUACCCACUUUAUGGAAUGCAGCUAGGAAAUCCUCGGUUAAAUAUGGCGAUAGAGUUAAAUUCAUUGGUCCAGCUUCUGGAGGUUUGCAUUCAACUUCUGCCAGGGGCCCAAUUCCUGGAAUGCGAGGAAAGGUACUAUUACCAUUUGAAGACAAUUCCUCGUCAAAAAUUGGUGUGAGAUUCGAUAAAUCCAUGCCUGAUGGUGUUGAUUUAGGGGGUCUAUGUGAUAAUGGUCAUGGAUUCUUCUGCAAUGCCACUGAACUCUGCUUGGAUACCUCAGGGGUGGAGGAUCUAGACAAGUUACUCAUUGACACAAUGUUUGAGACUGUAUUUGAGGUGAGCAGAGAUUCCCCCUUCAUACUGUUCUUGAAAGAUGCUGAGAAAUCUGUGGCUGGAAAUUCCGGAUUAUGUGUAACAUUUAGAAACAAGCUGGAGAAGAUUCCUGAUAAUGUUGUCAUUAUUGGUUCUCACACUCAGAAUGACAAUCGUAAAGAAAAGUUACAUCCUAGCAGUUUGCUUUUCACCAAAUUUAGCAGCAAUCAUACAGCUUUAUUUGACUUGGCUUUCCCUGAUAGUUUGGGGAGAUUGCAUGACAAAGGAAAGGACGUUUCCAAGGCAACCAAAUUUCUAUCCAAACUUUUCCUCAAUAAAGUGACCAUUCACGCACCUCAGGAUGAAGCACUCCUAGUUAGUUGGAAGCAGCAAUUGGAACAAGAUGUUGAAACCCUAAAACUGAAAGCAAAUCUCAACAAUUUAAGAAAUGUCCUGAGUCUUCAUGAUAUGGAGUGUGAUGGACUUGAUACGUCGUGCAUUAAAGAUCAGACACUUACAAAUGAGAGUGCCGAAAAGGUAGUUGGAUGGGCUUUAUGUCAUCACUUGACAAGGAACCCUGAAGCUGAUGCAGAUGCAGAUGCAGACGCCAAGAUUGUUUUAUCUACUGAGAGUAUCCGGUAUGGGAUAGGAAUACUGCAAGCAAUCCAGAAUGAAUCCAAAAGUUUAAAGAAGUCUCUUAAGGAUGUUGUGACGGAGAACGAGUUCGAGAAAAGGCUUCUGGCAGAUGUUAUCGCUUCCAGUGAUAUUGGUGUGACAUUUGACGCUAUUGGAGCACUUGAAAAUGUCAAGGAUACAUUGAAGGAGCUGGUGAUGCUUCCUUUACAGAGGCCCGAACUUUUCUGCAAGGGUCAAUUGACCAAGCCCUGCAAGGGUAUACUUUUUUUUGGCCCUCCUGGAACAGGAAAGACCAUGCUUGCAAAGGCUGUUGCCACUGACGCUGGUGCUAACUUCAUCAACAUUUCUAUGUCGAGCAUUUCUUCAAAGUGGUUUGGUGAGGGAGAGAAGUAUGUGAAGGCUGUGUUCUCGCUUGCAAGCAAAAUUGCUCCUAGUAUUGUAUUUGUUGAUGAGGUUGAUAGCAUGCUUGGCCGGAGGGAAAGCCCAGGAGAGCAUGAAGCCAUGCGUAAAAUGAAAAAUGAAUUCAUGGUGAACUGGGAUGGACUGAGAACAAAAGAUACAGAACGGGUUUUGGUGCUUGCUGCCACAAACAGGCCAUUUGACCUUGAUGAGGCUGUAAUAAGACGGCUUCCGCGUAGAUUGAUGGUCAACUUGCCGGAUGCUGCUAAUAGAGCAAAGAUUUUGAAAGUGAUACUCGCAAAGGAGGACUUGUCUCCUAAUGUUGAUCUGAAUUCUGUUGCAAGUAUGACCAAUGGAUAUUCUGGAAGUGACCUAAAGAAUUUAUGCAUUACGGCUGCACAUCGUCCAAUUAGAGAACUUUUGAAAAGGGAAAAGAAGGAUCAAGCUGCUGCUCUUGAAGAAGGUAAACCUCUGCCAGCUUUGAUGGGGAGUGCUGAUAUUCGGCCAUUGAACAUAGAUGACUUCAGAUUUGCUCAUGAGCAAGUAUGUGCAAGUGUUUCAUCAGAGUCUAUAAACAUGACCGAGCUUCUUCAGUGGAAUGAACUAUAUGGCGACGGGGGCUCUCGACGGAAGAAAUCCCUUAGCUAUUUCAUGUAAAGAAGGACUUUGAGCAGCAUUUUUGGGGCUUAAUUUUGUUCUGCAGCGUCUGUUAAGGGGCUAAAUAAGUCAAAUCAGGCUGGGCUAUGCUGUUUUACUCCUCUAAUUCAAUCUCAUCAGGGCCACGAUAGUGUUCAACCUCCAAUGUGCCUUAGCGACGAAAAACAGCCCUGUUCUUCCCCUCUAUCUUCGUGUUUAACAUGUAUCCAAGUUUAGGCAACUUGUUUUGAUGUACGAACAUUUUUGGGUAGGUACCAAGAAAUUUUGUACUCGUAUCUUGUCGAAUAAAUAUGACUCCUUGAACCCCUUCCAUUGCAUUACAAGGUUACAAACAACAAUGUUAGAUGUAUAUUAAAAGUUUGGCAUUGUUGUUGACA
Molecule: RNA transcript, 4070 nt
Organism: Olea europaea var. sylvestris
Lineage: Eukaryota; Viridiplantae; Streptophyta; Magnoliopsida; Lamiales; Oleaceae
Exons: 30
Source: RefSeq, a predicted model, not a curated record